RNAcentral lists this ribosomal RNA (253 nucleotides) under uncultured bacterium. RNAcentral describes it as "partial 16S ribosomal RNA". It matches the Rfam family "Bacterial small subunit ribosomal RNA", at positions 524 to 776 of the family's 1533-position model. The record is from RNAcentral.
GACGUAGGGCGCGAGCGUUGUCCGGAUUUAUUGGGCGUAAAGAGCUCGUAGGCGGUUUGUCGCGUCGUUCGUGAAAACUCACAGCUUAACUGUGAGCUUGCGGUCGAUACGGGCAGGCUAGAGUUCGGUAGGGGAGACUGGAAUUCCUGGUGUAGCGGUGAAAUGCGCAGAUAUCAGGAGGAACACCGGUGGCGAAGGCGGCUCACUGGCCCGAUACUGACGCUGAGGCACGAAAGCGUGGGGAGCAAACAGG